Molecule: ribosomal RNA, 301 nt
Filed under: uncultured bacterium
Lineage: Bacteria
Description: partial 16S ribosomal RNA
Rfam family: Bacterial small subunit ribosomal RNA
Source: RNAcentral
CAGUCGCCGCGGUAAUACGAGGGGGGCAAGCGUUGUUCGGAUUUAUUGGGCGUAAAGGGUGCGUAGGCGGUUUGGCAAGUCUUGUGUGAAAUCUUCGGGCUCAACCCGAAGCCUGCACGAGAAACUACCGGGCUUGAGUAUUGGAGAGGUGAGUGGAAUUUCCGGUGUAGCGGUGAAAUGCGUAGAUAUCGGAAGGAACACCUGUGGCGAAAGCGGCUCACUGGACAAUAACUGACGCUGAUGCACGAAGGCUAGGGGAGCAAACAGGAUUAGAUACCCCGGUAGUCCCUGUCUCUUAUAC